UACGGAGGAUGCGAGCGUUAUCCGGAUUUAUUGGGUUUAAAGGGAGCGUAGGUGGGCUGUUAAGUCAGCUGUGAAAGUUUGCGGCUCAACCGUAAAAUUGCAGUUGAUACUGUCAGUCUUGAGUACAGUAGAGGUUAGCGGAAUUCGUGGUGUAGCGGUGAAAUGCUUAGAUAUCACGAAGAACUCCAAUUGCGAAGGCAGCUGACUAGACUGUUACUGACACUGAUGCUCGAAAGUGUGGGUAUCAAACAGGAUUAGAUACCCUGGUAGUCCACACAGUAAACGAUGAAUACUCGCUGUUUGCGAUAUACAGUAAGCGGCCAAGCGAAAGCGUUAAGUAUUCCACCUGGGGAGUACGCCGGCAACGGUGAAACUCAAAGGAAUUGACGGGGGCCCGCACAAGCGGAGGAACAUGUGGUUUAAUUCGAUGAUACGCGAGGAACCUUACCCGGGCUUAAAUUGCAAAUGAAUAUAGUUGAAAGAUUAUAGCCGCAAGGCAUUUGUGAAGGUGCUGCAUGGUUGUCGUCAGCUCGUGCCGUGAGGUGUCGGCUUAAGUGCCAUAACGAGCGCAACCCUUAUCUUUAGUUACUAACAGGUCAUGCUGAGGACUCUAGAGAGACUGCCGUCGUAAGAUGUGAGGAAGGUGGGGAUGACGUCAAAUCAGCACGGCCCUUACGUCCGGGGCUACACACGUGUUACAAUGGGAGGUACAACAGGCAGCUACACGGCGACGUGAUGCUAAUCCCCAAAACCUCUCUCAGUUCGGAUUGGAGUCUGCAACCCGACUCCAUGAAGCUGGAUUCGCUAGUAAUCGCGCAUCAGCCACGGCGCGGUGAAUACGUUCCCGGGCCU
This 852-nucleotide ribosomal RNA is filed under the name uncultured bacterium. RNAcentral describes it as "SSU rRNA". It matches the Rfam family "Bacterial small subunit ribosomal RNA", at positions 524 to 1381 of the family's 1533-position model. The record is from RNAcentral.